RNAcentral lists this transfer RNA (51 nucleotides) under Balearica regulorum gibbericeps (East African grey crowned-crane). RNAcentral's name for it is "Balearica pavonina gibbericeps tRNA". It matches the Rfam family "tRNA", at positions 22 to 71 of the family's 71-position model. From Rfam's summary of the family: Transfer RNA (tRNA) molecules are approximately 80 nucleotides in length. Their secondary structure includes four short double-helical elements and three loops (D, anti-codon, and T loops). The record is from Rfam by way of RNAcentral. Lineage: Eukaryota; Metazoa; Chordata; Aves; Gruiformes; Gruidae.
AGCGCAUGCUUCGCAUGUAUGAGGUCCCGGGUUCAAUCCCCGGCAUCUCCA